This 483-nucleotide ribosomal RNA is filed under the name uncultured bacterium. RNAcentral describes it as "partial 16S ribosomal RNA". It matches the Rfam family "Bacterial small subunit ribosomal RNA", at positions 28 to 523 of the family's 1533-position model. The record is from RNAcentral.
GACGAACGCUGGCGGCGUGCUUAACACAUGCAAGUCGAACGAUGAAGCUGGAGCUUGCUCCGGUGGAUUAGUGGCGAGCGGGUGAGUAACACGUGAGCAAUCUGCCCUUCACUCUGGGAUAACUGCGGGAAACUGUAGCUAAUACCGGAUACGAGGCUUGGAGGCAUCUCCAGGUCUGGAAAGAAUUUCGGUGAAGGAUGAGCUCGCGGCCUAUCAGCUUGUUGGUGAGGUAAUGGCUAACCAAGGCGACGACGGGUAGCCGGCCUGAGAGGGUGACCGGCGACACUGGGACGGAGCAACGGCCCAGACGCAUACGGGAGGCAGCAGUGGGGAAUAUUGCACAAUGGGCGAAAGCCUGAUGCAGCAACGCCGCGUGAGGGAUGAAGGCCUUCGGGUUGUAAACCUCUUUUAGCAGGGAAGAAGCGAAAGUGACGGUACCUGCAGAAAAAGCACCGGCUAACUACGUGCCAGCCGCCGCCGUAA